UUCAACUUUAGAUGCAGAUGACUCACAGGGCGUCCUCUCGAUGGAUGAAGUCAAGAGGUUUGAUCAUUCCCUGCUGCUUCUCCCUGCAACAAAAGAGGGCACUCCAAAACUGAUGCAUCAGCGCUGCAGCCGCCUAUAAGGAUUUCACACCAGUGACUAGCACUAUCUCACAACGCCACCUGAGGCUGGAGGACCUGGCUCAGCUCCCAAACUGACUUGGAGCCUUUGAAGGCCACAAACGAAGGGUCGCGGGGGCCUAUCCCAGCUGCACACGGGCGGUAGGCGGGGUACACCCUGGACAAGUCGCCACCUCAUCGCAGGGCCAACACAGAUAAACAGACAACAUUCACACUCACAUUCACACACUAGGGACAAUUAAGGGUUGCCAAUCAACCUAUCCCCAGGUGCAUGUCUUUGGAGGUGGGAGGAACCCACGCAGUCACGGGGAGAACAUGCGAACUCCACACAGACAGAUCCCGAGCCCAGGAUCGAACUCUGGACCUUUUUAUUGUGGGGCACACAUACCCUGUACCACCGUUCUUAGCCCUGGCAAAUGUUAACUUCGGCUAGUAACGUUUGUUCUGCUUCCCACAGCAGGCUCUUCCUCACUUUCUUGUCCGUAACUCCAAAAACAAUCCGGUCACGGAUCAUCGAUUCUUGCAGCUCUCCAAAAUUACAGGUUUUAGCUUUCAGUUUUAAAUCAGUCAGAAAAGUGUCCAAUUUUCGGAUGAUAGUUUUCAAAUGCAUUGUUACCUUCGCCGUCAGCAAACACAAAGGUAUUGUUUACCUCCACAGCCUGAGUUCCAGCCACGGUGCUAUUUUCCUUGCCUCGGGUUUGUCAUCCUGUACGGUCGCUUAUAAAUAAAGCAUGAAGCGCCGUUUAAAGGU
This is a long non-coding RNA of Nerophis lumbriciformis (worm pipefish), 888 nucleotides long. RefSeq lists it as uncharacterized. NCBI's taxonomy places the organism in Eukaryota, Metazoa, Chordata, Actinopteri, Syngnathiformes, Syngnathidae. The record is from RefSeq and is a predicted model, not a curated record.